GGGUAAGUUAGAAAGGGCGCACGGCGGAUGCCUUGGCACUAGGAGCCGAUGAAGGACGGUACAAACACCGAUAUGCUCCGGGGAGCUGUACGUAAGCUUUGAUCCGGAGAUUUCCGAAUGGGGAAACCCCCUGUCUUUAAUCGGACAGGAUUCCUGCCUGAAUCCAUAGGGCAGGAAGGGCACACC
RNAcentral lists this ribosomal RNA (186 nucleotides) under Vibrio cholerae O1. Its description in RNAcentral is "partial 23S ribosomal RNA". It matches the Rfam family "Bacterial large subunit ribosomal RNA", at positions 1 to 185 of the family's 2925-position model. Lineage: Bacteria; Pseudomonadati; Pseudomonadota; Gammaproteobacteria; Vibrionales; Vibrionaceae. The record is from RNAcentral.